RNAcentral lists this long non-coding RNA (1181 nucleotides) under Vigna radiata. RNAcentral's name for it is "long non-coding RNA (VRAD_LNC007994)". The record is from RNAcentral. Lineage: Eukaryota; Viridiplantae; Streptophyta; Magnoliopsida; Fabales; Fabaceae.
GAGGAGCUCACAAGGGGUCAAAAAGGCACCAAGAAGGGAGGAAACCCAAAGCCCAGGCGACAACAAUGAAAAACAGCGAAGCUGAAUUCACCGCUGGUCGCCCGGGCGACGGACGCCCGAAGCUCAGACAUCAAAAACUGGCGCCCAAGCCUCACAGAACCCUUGAUUCACGCUUGGGCGAGCUCCCUGCGACACUUGAGCGUGAUUUCACGUGGAUCGGGCCCUGAUUCUGCUCUGAUUUGAAUCUUUUGGACUGGGCUGCACUCUGGGACGCGUCUGACGCUAUUUAAAGGACCCUAGGGCUCUAGGUUUUGCAUCCCUGGCAGAAGAGAGCAUAGCAAUACACUCCUAGCCAAUUCUUAGUCUUUUCAUUCUUUCUUUCUUCCAUUAUUCAUAGAGUUCCCCCAUGUUUAUGGGGAACUAAUUUCUAUUUGUUGUUGGGGAAUGAUGUAACCUUGUAAACUCUCAUGUAUUUGAAUUGAUUCUUAAUUUCAUAUGCUUUUUCCAUUAAUUGUUAGAGUAAUUUAUCUGUUCUUAUUCUUGCUUAUACAAUAGCAUUAUCUAUGAGUUGCAUGAGUGGCAACAGGUUCCUUUCUAUUCAGGUCCUUUUUAAAUUACUCCUAAGGGUUAUAUUGCUCAGACAUGAGGGUAUGGGUCUUAGUCGUCUUAACCACCUGAUCUUCACAUCUUUUUACCAGGAAUGCUAGGAAUCGUAUGAACUCGUAAUUAGGGACAAACUUAUUUACCGAGACAUCGAGUUUAAGUGUUUUAGUGAGGGACGUUGGCAUUAAUGAAUAAAGAAGAAUUCUUAUAUACAUAAGAGGGGACUUGGUGAAGUCUAACCCCAACAACAGACUCAUCUCAUAUAAAUCAACCUCCAUUCAUAUCUGUGCUCUUUUACCACUGAUCACUUUUACUUUGCUGUAUUUUAUUCUUUUUGCUAUACAAUCCAUGAUUUCUUUUCUUUUAAGUCUUAAUUAAUCCCGUUUUCACACAACUGUUCAGCGCCGAGAGUCCUCUGGGAUACGAUACUUGGUCUUACCAUUUUAUAUUACUUGUGCGACUCGAUACACUUGCCGAUUUGCCCCAACAGUAACAGAUGUAAAAAUAUUAAUUUAAGUUUUUUAAAUAAGUAACAUAUGUAAAAUUAAUAAUUUAAGUCUGUUAAAAAAGUAACAGAU